UACGGAGGGUGCGAGCGUUAAUCGGAAUAACUGGGCGUAAAGGGCACGCAGGCGGACUUUUAAGUGAGGUGUGAAAUCCCCGGGCUUAACCUGGGAAUUGCAUUUCAGACUGGGAGUCUAGAGUACUUUAGGGAGGGGUAGAAUUCCACGUGUAGCGGUGAAAUGCGUAGAGAUGUGGAGGAAUACCGAAGGCGAAGGCAGCCCCUUGGGAAUGUACUGACGCUCAUGUG
Molecule: ribosomal RNA, 230 nt
Filed under: uncultured microorganism
Description: partial 16S ribosomal RNA
Rfam family: Bacterial small subunit ribosomal RNA
Source: RNAcentral